GGUAUAGCACAGUGGUAGAGUGUGUGCUUAGCAUGCACGAGGUCCUGGGUUCAAUCCCCAGUGCC
Molecule: transfer RNA, 65 nt
Filed under: Camelus bactrianus (Bactrian camel)
Lineage: Eukaryota; Metazoa; Chordata; Mammalia; Artiodactyla; Camelidae
Also listed under: 2 other names
Rfam family: tRNA
About the family: Transfer RNA (tRNA) molecules are approximately 80 nucleotides in length. Their secondary structure includes four short double-helical elements and three loops (D, anti-codon, and T loops).
Source: Rfam by way of RNAcentral